AGAUGUUAUUGAUGAUGAUGAUAUUCCCAUGUGUGCAUGCAUGGAAGAUAUGAGCAUCGUGGUAUCACGCUCUGACUGCACGCAGAUUGAU
This 91-nucleotide non-coding RNA is filed under the name Thalassionema frauenfeldii. The record is from RNAcentral. Lineage: Eukaryota; Bacillariophyta; Fragilariophyceae; Thalassionematales; Thalassionemataceae.